UGUCUCUGUUCAAAUCACUAUUCUAAGUCCUUUCCGUAUAACCCACUGACUUCUCUGAAUAAUCCUACUCAUUAGUUAUUUCCAUUUCUAUUUUGCAGUUGAAGAAACCGAAGCACAAAGAAUAACUUGUCCAAGAUCACAGAGUUUAGGAAGUAAGGAAGCAGGGCUUUGAGCUUUGCAUCAAGUGAUGACCCAUAAAUGCAAAUGGAAUACAACAGGAGUGGGUCCCUAAAGUCCCACCCAGAGAAUGCCCUUCUGCCAAAAAAUUUCGGAUUGAAACAGCAAAAACACCUAAGCAACUGAUAGUCAGGUGGUUCUCUGAUUUAAUUGUUUGAAAGCAGUCACUGGAAGCAAAGCUAUGUGACUCAGCUUUGGUGAUGUACUCCAGCUGGAGUCUGACAGGAGGGCAAGGAGCAUGUCUG
This 422-nucleotide long non-coding RNA is filed under the name Homo sapiens (human). Its description in RNAcentral is "non-protein coding ADAMTS9-AS2:11". Lineage: Eukaryota; Metazoa; Chordata; Mammalia; Primates; Hominidae. The record is from RNAcentral.